GAUGAAGAACGUAGCAAAAUGCGAUAAGUAAUGUGAAUUGCAGAAUUCAGUGAAUCAUCGAAUCUUUGAACGCACAUUGCGCCCGCUGGUAUUCCGGCGGGCAUGCCUGUUCGAGCGUCAUUUCAACCCUCAAGCCCCCGGGUUUGGUGUUGGGGAUCGGCUCUGCCCUUCUGGGCGUUGCCGCCCCCGAAAUACAUUGGCGGUCUCGCUGCAGCCUCCAUUGCGUAGUAGCUAACACCUCGCAACUGGAACGCGGCGCGGCCAUGCCGUAAAACCCCAACUUCUGAAUGUUGACCUCGGAUCAGGUAGGAAUACCCGCUGAACUUAAGCAUAUCAAUAAGCGGAGGA
Molecule: unclassified non-coding RNA, 348 nt
Filed under: soil metagenome
Description: partial contains 5.8S ribosomal RNA, internal transcribed spacer 2, and large subunit ribosomal RNA
Rfam family: 5.8S ribosomal RNA (bases 1-120)
Source: RNAcentral